AACAGAUGAUCUAGCCAGACCCCAGAAAACAAGAUACAUAAGCCAUCGAUUCGGCCUCAAAAUUUGAAAGCCAUUUUAAAAGAAAAAACUGUUACAAAUAUUUUUGAGUUUGUAGAAUCCUACUAUUUACAUUGUAGUCUGUUAUAUAAUCCCACAUUUGAUUAACACUAAAAUUUUGGAGCAAAUGAUGAGAUUGACUAUUAUCUUGACCUUUUUAAAAAAAAAACAAAUUAAUCUCUUCUCUUUUUAU
Long non-coding RNA from Arabidopsis thaliana (thale cress), 250 nucleotides. RefSeq annotates it as other RNA. The transcript has a single exon. Lineage: Eukaryota; Viridiplantae; Streptophyta; Magnoliopsida; Brassicales; Brassicaceae. The record is from RefSeq.